RNAcentral lists this long non-coding RNA (2010 nucleotides) under Monodelphis domestica (gray short-tailed opossum). RNAcentral's name for it is "lncRNA (ENSMODG00000047662.1)". The record is from RNAcentral. Lineage: Eukaryota; Metazoa; Chordata; Mammalia; Didelphimorphia; Didelphidae.
GCACUGAUAUUCCCAUUUCACUGAUGAGGAAGUUGGGACCUAGAGAUGCUACAUAACUACUGUGUUGGGAUCAGGGUCCUAGAAUUCUAGGAUUUUAGAUUUGAAAGGGACCUUGAGGGCUAUGCAGGGCAAUCACUUAAUUUUAAAACUGAUACUAUUGUGGGGUGCUAGAGGUGAACCCCUGGAGUCUGGGGAGGGUACCUUGUGCAAGAAUGCGAGACUGAAACUUAGCUUAAAAAUAAAGAGAGAAAUGUAUUCAUUUGGAAGGUAAUGUUGAAUCUGGCCAGGAGGACAGCAUAGGUGAAACAGCAUAGGUGGAAAGCUGCUCCUCGGGAGGACAGCAUGCCGGGAAAGCUGUCCUUCAGAGGCCAUCAAGCCUGGGAUUUUAUACUCUUUACCACCGAGUGGGGAGGGGAUGGGGGGGGCAGGGCUCUGGAGCUAGGGGUUGGGAGGAGGCUUGCCCGAAGGCAUGGGGGUGGGUCCAUCUCCAGUCCAAGGGACCAUAGAAGAAGGGCAAUCCAUCCUCCCGGUCAGGUGUUUUGGUUUGGGAGAGCCGAGCUGAGGAACUAGCCUGAUAAGAGUUUGCCUGGGUUUCUUCUGGGGGACAAUGCCCAAGCCUGUUCGGAGUCCUGCAAAGAUGCAGAAACCUUGGCAUUUUACAGACCGAAAUGCAUAUUCUACUUCUGGGGAAGAUUGUAUCUGCAAAGUUGGAAAAGGAAAACAAACUCUUCAAUUCCUCCGUUGUAUAAACAAGUUGAUCACAUUUUAAUUGGAAGCCUGGAAUGUAUGGAGUGCAAAGGAAGUGAAUUGCACCAAGUCCUUGCGCUCCAGAAUCUCCCAGGGAAGGAGGCGAGGCAGAUUUUGUUUUGUUUCGGGUGUUUUUAUUCAACCACCUCCAAGGAUUCAUGCUUCUUCGUUGAGCUCCCCAGGAAGGGAAUUCUCUUUACCAAUGCAGUAUUCCAGAAUCAACAGGGAUCAGUUCUGAUGUUUCUCCUUCAGAUGAAGAGAAUGAGGAAGUUUCUAGACACUACUUUGGAUGACAGAUAUAACCAUGUAGGGACUUUGGGUUCCUCAGUAGAUAGGAAGAUAUGGGAGCAAAAUCUUCCUGGAGAAGAAUUUGGAAAGCUCCAUUCGACAUAUAUUAUGGAUUUGGUGACCCUACUUUCAGGGUCUGUUCUUGACUUUGCAGCCUUCAAGAGGCAGAGAAGCAGUAGCCCUGAUGCAGCUAGUCCUCAUAGACCUUCAAAGAGACCAGGCUAGCCUUCUGGGAGUAACCAGGUGUUCCAUCCACUUAAAGACUUAAGUAGGCCACUUCACCUCUCUGCACCCCUGUCAGAGCCUUUUUUUUUUUUUGCUGUGGGCACUGUUAUAGAUGCAUGUCAACUGCCACUGGUAUCACAAGCUCAGCUGCUGCAGUCUUCUUCCAAGUAGGGAUUCCCAUGGGUGGCAACCUGCAUUUUGACACUGCUAUUACCUUAAAAGACAAUCUUCUCAACUUCCUAGGGAGGGGAAUGCUGAAGAUCCUGAAGGGAGUGGUAGAUGGGUACCAAGUCCUUGGCUUCCCUGUGAGAGGAAUGAUCCCUCAAACCUAUGAGAAGAAUGAGCCAUCAGUCCCAAAAUUGCCUUUCCUCUCACUUCCAUUCCCAAGUUUCUUUGUUUCUGUCUUUUCCUUUGAGAGUUCUCACUAUCCCUGAACUAGACUUUCCCUUCUAGUUCUUUUUUUUUACUUUUUUAUUUUACAUUAUCCCUUCAUAAUAACAAAAAUUUUAAUAGCAAUUAUAUAAUUUUAAGUUCCAAAGAAUCUCUUCUCUCUUCCUUGCUUUUUUCCUUCCUUCCUUCAUCCUUUGUUCCUUCAUUCCUUCCUAACCUCCUCUCUCUCCUUCCUUCCUAUCUUCCCUCUCUCCUUCCCUCCCUUCACUUCCUUCCCAUCUCACCUGGCUUUUUCAUUUUAUAAGCAAGAAAACUGAAGCCCAGAAAAGUUGUUUCAUUCCAAUCCAUCCUCCCCUCAGC